Molecule: long non-coding RNA, 903 nt
Organism: Scylla paramamosain (green mud crab)
Lineage: Eukaryota; Metazoa; Arthropoda; Malacostraca; Decapoda; Portunidae
Exons: 6
Source: RefSeq, a predicted model, not a curated record
CAGUCUCUGCCCGUCACCAUCAACGCUACCUGUGAAGGGAAAUGUUUGUUUUGCCUUUAUACUGUGCUGGCAGACUCUCCUCUUAACUAUGGUGUGCUCAGGACCAUCAGUUAAUUAUUUUACUGUUCUAUGUGUUUUCAGUGUUAUAUCAUUCUUGAGAGAGAGAGAGAGAGAGAGAGAGAGAGAGAGAGAGAGAGAGAGAGAGAGAGAGAGAGAGAGAGAGAGUGUGUGUGUGUAAAUCUAAAUACCUCUCGAGAUAAUUUUUAAUAUCUAUAUUCUCUUCCCUCUCCCUCCAGUCAACACCCUUGCGACACCACCACCACCACCACCACCGCCACCACUACUAUGACUUCAUCCUCGACCUCAGUGACAUCUUAUUGACCAGCCAGCUCCUACAAUUCCAAACCCCGGAGCGCAGCCAGGCUCAGCGGGAGGCCGGCGGGUGACGCGUCUCUCCUUGCCUCACCGCCUCUCCGCGCCGCCAGGUUAUAAAAGAAUUUGCUUCCUUGUGCAAACGUGCGGCGAGGAAGUCUUCUGCAAAAUGACCGCUGUACUGCUGCUGGUGAUGCAUGAGUGCGUGGCGCUGCGGCGAGGCGCGGCACGGGAUGGCUGGCUAGCUUUUUGGACUCAGGAUGGAAGGACGAAAGGAUGGGAGGAUGCAAGGAUGGAUCUCUCCUAUCAAAUAACUGACGUGGAGAAGAAAAAGAGAGAAGAAAAAGAAAGAAAGAAGAAGAAGAAGAAGAAGAAGAAGAAGAAGAAGAGAAGAAGACAAGCCAAAACAGGAAACCCCGCGAGCAUUGCAGAUGUGGAAAGGUGUGGAGAAGUACUGGAAACAUCUGCACCAAACCUGUUAAUCCUUCCACACCUCGCAGAGAGAGAGAGAGAGAGGAAAAAAGGUGGGUG